RNAcentral lists this ribosomal RNA (501 nucleotides) under uncultured bacterium. RNAcentral describes it as "partial 16S ribosomal RNA". It matches the Rfam family "Bacterial small subunit ribosomal RNA", at positions 29 to 523 of the family's 1533-position model. The record is from RNAcentral.
AUUAAACGCUGGCGGCAUGCCUUACACAUGCAAGUCGAACGGCAGCACGGGUGCUUGCACCUGGUGGCGAGUGGCGAACGGGUGAGUAAUACAUCGGAACGUACCUUAUCGUGGGGGAUAACGCAGCGAAAGCUGUGCUAAUACCGCAUACGCCCUGAGGGGGAAAGCGGGGGAUCGCAAGACCUCGCGCGAUUAGAGCGGCCGAUGCCUGAUUAGCUUGUUGGUGGGGUAAAAGCCCACCAAGGCGACGAUCAGUAGCUGGUCUGAGAGGACGAUCAGCCACACUGGGACUGAGACACGGCCCAGGCUCCUACGGGAGGCAGCAGUGGGGAAUUUUGGACAAUGGGGGCAACCCUGAUCCAGCAAUGCCGCGUGAGUGAAGAAGGCCUUCGGGUUGUAAAGCUCUUUUGUCAGGGAAGAAACACCGGCUCUAACACAGUCCGGGAAUGACGGUACCUGAAGAAUAAGCACCGGCUAACUACGUGCCAGCAGCCGCCGCGG